ACUCUGGAGGAUAAAACAAAAUCUCUCUCUAUUUAAAAUGUUAGCAUUUUUUCUGCCUCAGAUUUAUUGCUUUCUGCAUCUACACCACCAACAGAGACCGAUGAUCCCAAAACUACGCCAUUUUUGGAGCUCCCCUGCCCAAGGUUAAACAAAAUUGAAAAUAAAAUAUCGCUAUCCACUCAUGAUCAUUAGAUUAUCUCUAUCAAAGAAAAAAAUUAGACAAAUAAUAACAAAAUAGAGGAAUUUGAUAACCUGAGGCGAGUAAGUGUCGAUGAUAAAGGUGGAGAAUCGUCCUUCUUUAGCCAUUUCAACAGUUUUAAGACCAACUAAUUUCAUCAUCGGAAUCGCCAGAGAAGAAAACACUUCCU
RNAcentral lists this long non-coding RNA (368 nucleotides) under Citrus maxima (pomelo). RNAcentral describes it as "long non-coding RNA (CMAX_LNC003087)". The record is from RNAcentral. Lineage: Eukaryota; Viridiplantae; Streptophyta; Magnoliopsida; Sapindales; Rutaceae.